GCUUGGGGGCAGGGUGGGGUCAGGGCUGAGAGCACCCUCCAGCCUUGCGGGGGUCUCAGAAUGACCUCAACUCCUGGCCUGGGGUUCCAGGCUUCCCUCUGACCCCAGGACUUCCGUGCUCACCCUCCCGUGUGGGGUCAGUCUCAUCUCAUCUCCCAGCCUACCUGGGCAGCACGACCCAGGACGGCGGCCUUGGGGACAAGUUCCUCCCGCCCCCAGCUCCCCGCCAGGGAACUGAGCUGCCAGGGAACUGAGCUGCCCGUGAGGCCGCAAAUCAAGUGUUCUCCAUGGCGAGGAGGCGCUCUUGGCUGUUGAGCUUCCCUCAGAAAAUAAUUUUUGGCUGAAGUCUGAAGACUCUGGAUCCCGUUCUCUUCCUCUGAGGACCCUUGGUUCUUGUUUUAGCAGCCAUUCGAUCACUGGACUUGUGGGGCUUGUUUUCAUGCUUUCAUGCUGGUCUGCAGAACACCCUGCAGGUCUUCCAAGCCCCUCAGUGGGGACCUGAAUCCUACAGCCAUGUGACCUUAGAAGAGCCUCAGAAGGACCCCGACAGCCUGACUGAACCCUUUCGAAACCCUGAGCAGAGGCCCCAGAAUUCCAGCAGAGCAACAUGGAUUCCUCCCAGCGCAUCCGAAGGGAAGCUGACUGACAUCAGUCUGCUCAUUUGUGCUGAUGUUAUCCUGCGUCACCCAGGG
Mirounga angustirostris (Northern elephant seal) is the source of this 692-nucleotide long non-coding RNA. RefSeq lists it as uncharacterized. Lineage: Eukaryota; Metazoa; Chordata; Mammalia; Carnivora; Phocidae. The record is from RefSeq and is a predicted model, not a curated record. The transcript has 4 exons.